RNAcentral lists this ribosomal RNA (1472 nucleotides) under Paraphaeosphaeria neglecta. Its description in RNAcentral is "eukaryotic LSU rRNA". The stretch from base 556 to 1472 matches the Rfam family "Eukaryotic large subunit ribosomal RNA", at positions 1 to 935 of the family's 3401-position model. Lineage: Eukaryota; Fungi; Ascomycota; Dothideomycetes; Pleosporales; Didymosphaeriaceae. The record is from RNAcentral.
CGUAACAAGGUUUCCGUAGGUGAACCUGCGGAAGGAUCAUUAUCCAUCUCAAACCAGGUGCGGUCGCGGCCCCCGGGGGCUUGCUCCCGGGUGGUAGGGGUAACACCCUCACGCGCCGCCUGCCUGUACCCUCUUUUUACGAGCACCUUUCGUUCUCCUUCGGCGGGGCAACCUGCCGCUGGAACCAAAACAAAACCUUUUUUGCAUCUAGCAUUACCUGUUCUGAUACAAAUAAUCGUUACAACUUUCAACAAUGGAUCUCUUGGCUCUGGCAUCGAUGAAGAACGCAGCGAAAUGCGAUAAGUAGUGUGAAUUGCAGAAUUCAGUGAAUCAUCGAAUCUUUGAACGCACAUUGCGCCCCUUGGUAUUCCAUGGGGCAUGCCUGUUCGAGCGUCAUCUACACCCUCAAGCUCUGCUUGGUGUUGGGCGUCUGUCCCGCCUCUGCGCGCGGACUCGCCCCAAAUUCAUUGGCAGCGGUCUUUGCCUCCUCUCGCGCAGCACAAUUGCGUCUGCGGGGGGGCGUGGCCCGCGUCCACGAAGCAACAUUACCGUCUUUGACCUCGGAUCAGGUAGGGAUACCCGCUGAACUUAAGCAUAUCAAUAAGCGGAGGAAAAGAAACCAACAGGGAUUGCCCUAGUAACGGCGAGUGAAGCGGCAACAGCUCAAAUUUGAAAUCUGGCUCUCUUUGGGGGUCCGAGUUGUAAUUUGCAGAGGAUGCUUUGGCAUUGGCGGCGGUCUAAGUUCCUUGGAACAGGACAUCACAGAGGGUGAGAAUCCCGUACGUGGUCGCCUGCCCUUGCCGUGUAAAGCUCCUUCGACGAGUCGAGUUGUUUGGGAAUGCAGCUCUAAAUGGGAGGUAAAUUUCUUCUAAAGCUAAAUACUGGCCAGAGACCGAUAGCGCACAAGUAGAGUGAUCGAAAGAUGAAAAGUACUUUGGAAAGAGAGUCAAAAAGCACGUGAAAUUGUUGAAAGGGAAGCGCUUGCAGCCAGACUUGCCCGCAGUUGCUCACCUAGGCUUUCGCCUGGGGCACUCUUCUGCGGGCAGGCCAGCAUCAGUUUGGGCGGUUGGAUAAAGGCCUCUGUCACGUAUCUCCCUUCGGGGUGACCUUAUAGGGGAGGCGCAAUGCAACCAGCCCGGACUGAGGUCCGCGCAUCUGCUAGGAUGCUGGCGUAAUGGCUGUAAGCGGCCCGUCUUGAAACACGGACCAAGGAGUCUAACAUCUAUGCGAGUGUUUGGGUGUCAAGCCCGAGCGCGCAAUGAAAGUGAACGGAGGUGGGAACCCUUUGGGUGCACCAUCGACCGAUCCUGAUGUCUUCGGAUGGAUUUGAGUAAGAGCAUAGCUGUUGGGACCCGAAAGAUGGUGAACUAUGCUUGAAUAGGGUGAAGCCAGAGGAAACUCUGGUGGAGGCUCGCAGCGGUUCUGACGUGCAAAUCGAUCGUCAAAUUUGGGCAUAGGGGCGAAAGACUAAU